This 992-nucleotide long non-coding RNA is filed under the name Triticum aestivum (bread wheat). Its description in RNAcentral is "long non-coding RNA (TAES_LNC027858)". Lineage: Eukaryota; Viridiplantae; Streptophyta; Magnoliopsida; Poales; Poaceae. The record is from RNAcentral.
CCCUCCUAAUAUCUGGUUCAUGCUCCCCCACAGCUUAGAUUGUGAAGACUUGCUUAGUCCAUCCUUUUGCUUUGCUUAUUAAUGAUGCCCCAAGAUGCAAAAUACUAAUUAUUUUGCUUUAUGUGUGUGCUACAUUUUAGAUGCAAUUGCUGAUCAACAUCUUUGGCUUCACGGUUAUUCAUGGAAACUGGAUGUGGUGAGUGUCGUCAAAAUUUUAUCCAUUUUUUAUUUUCUUCACAUUUUUAGUAAAAUGACUAUUCAGACAAGCUUAAAAAAUAGAUAAAUUGGUUUCAUAACGUUUGGAUUCUAGAGGCUUGUCAUGCACUGCAAGUCUACUUGUUGAUCCAUUUGAACCAAUGCAUGAGCUCAGUCGAAUUCACAUCAAUGUCCUUUAACACUGCAGGCAAUGAAACAAAAGGAGUUGCACUGGUUGGGAGGCAUGGAGAGUUCAAGUACUAUCUGGGAUACUACUUACAUUGCUAAUAAGUUAACGUCUGGUCCUAAUACUAGGAUUCCCAGCUAUCUUAGUUUCAAGCCCUGUAUGCUGAUUUGAUUGAAGGUGGAAAUGGGACUCCUUUUGGUGCUUAAGUAAUAACUCAAUGAUAGCGGGAACUGGUUGAAUUAUCAAUAUACAUUUGGGCAUAGAGCAUGAGGAUGUAUGAAACUUCUGAACACUUUCAGGUUGUCUAUAAAUUAACAGUCUUGGCCACUUAAGAAAAGUGAAUUGCAACUAAAUUGUUGAAAAAUGCAGUUCUACGAUUAAGUACUUUGCUGAAAUUUUCAGGUUGUCGGACAAACUGCAACUAUGAACAGUAUGCCUCAUUUGACUCUUGUGGGGGUAGAGCGAUAAAAUAAACAUGUCAUCACUAGGCGAGUUCAAACACUGGAUGGCAAGGCGAUCAUCUAUUUGAAUACACUUAUUCGUUUCAAGGAGGUAGAAGGCGGUGCAGAAGCUGCAGUUUUGACCCCACUUGUGCUAGCCAAUUUUUUUU